CUUCCUACCCGAUACAUAGCUUCAUGUUCCGAUCGCGUCCUGUCAGCCUGGUUUUAGCCAUACUUGCAUCGAAGUCGCUCGUUUUAUCAUUAUCACAGUAUAUUAAUAUAAUCAUAUUUCUGGAGCGUUUUUUUUAAAUAUGUCUUGUUGAAAUUUCUGUGUUCAGUUUUUUUGUUGUCUCUUAGCUAGCUAGCUAUUAACACGCUAACUAGUAAGGUGGCUAGCAAUUAGCCAACGCACCCCUCCCUUACCAACCAUGGCACUGUUUUACUCAAGCCGCUUGCAAGAGCUGGGAAAAGGAUGUAGUAAAGUACCGACUUCAACUAUGAAGGUUGUACCGAAGCCCUCUGAGCCAGUAACAAUGACACAUCACUGUUCAUGUGUUGCUGGCAUUGCAUUAUGCAACCACACAAUUGCAUUACUAUUCCAAGAUGGGAACACCAGUCGUGUGCACAGAGGCCGAGCAGCAGUGGCAUAAGCCAAGGACUAUGGUUCUGCCCAUAGGCAAAAUGUCAAUCAUCAAGGCCACCAAAAAGCGCAUGGCAGGAGGAGGGAUUAGGUGGUUUUAAGUACAUUGUUUAGAUUGGCUAACCACAGCAGCUGCUUUGCAGAAGUACACUCUACAGCGCCCUUCUUGGAACGCUCCCUGACCUCUCAGUUCUCCAGAUAGAAGAGGCAUACAAGAACUUUGACCCUCUAUCCAAGCCAUUGAUCUGCAACAUGGGGAUGUCUACUGAAAAGCUUUGUCGACUUCCACUUUGGAAAGGUACAGGUGGGGAGCCUCCUGUCUUACCAGCAGCCUCCAAUCACAACGUGACCAUAAGGAAACACCACCAUUUCCUUCACUGCCCCUGGAUGGCUACAGACUGGAGAGCAACUUUCAAGGCUGCACAUUUGUGCUUAGUGAAGAAGACCAACUUCACAUAGUCUCUUCAGGUGAGAGAAUACAUAGACCCAGUGGUGUUCUCACUAAUUAGAGAGAAGGGUGACUGGUACUACUUAUGUGUACAUGCAAAAGUUGUUAUGCAGGAAAUACUAAAUAACAAGGGACAGGCUCCUCUAUCUCUCAAUUAAUGAAAGGGAAACAAACCAACAUCUGUCUGUGCAAUUAAUUAAUAAAUCAUUUAAAAUUCA
Long non-coding RNA from Salmo salar (Atlantic salmon), 1134 nucleotides. RefSeq lists it as uncharacterized. The record is from RefSeq and is a predicted model, not a curated record. NCBI's taxonomy places the organism in Eukaryota, Metazoa, Chordata, Actinopteri, Salmoniformes, Salmonidae.